RNAcentral lists this ribosomal RNA (247 nucleotides) under uncultured bacterium. RNAcentral's name for it is "partial 16S ribosomal RNA". It matches the Rfam family "Bacterial small subunit ribosomal RNA", at positions 523 to 769 of the family's 1533-position model. The record is from RNAcentral.
AUACGGAGGAUCCAAGCGUUAUCCGGAUUUAUUGGGUUUAAAGGGUGCGUAGGCGGGCCCUUAAGUCAGUUGUGAAAGUUUGCGGCUCAACCGUAAAAUUGCAGUUGAUACUGUUUUUCUUGAGUGUACAUAAGGUAGGCGGAAUUCGUGGUGUAGCGGUGAAAUGCUUAGAUAUCACGAAGAACUCCAAUUGCGAAGGCAGCUUACCGGGGUACAGCUGACGCUGAGGCACGAAAGUGUGGGUAUC